This is a long non-coding RNA of Gallus gallus (chicken), 407 nucleotides long. The record is from Ensembl. NCBI's taxonomy places the organism in Eukaryota, Metazoa, Chordata, Aves, Galliformes, Phasianidae.
ACCAGAUCCACCAGGUCUCUGCACAGCCACUCUGCUCAUUACCUGGGGAUAAAUAUUUUUUUUUCUUGGUUUGCAGCUGUUGCAAGAGAAUUCCUUUCACUCAAGUACCCCCUGGCUGCAGUUUCCAUCAGAAAAUCUAUUUACUGGAAUUGAAUACGAAGACUACCAGCCUUGCAAGUCCAAGCUUGUACCCGGCAUCAACUCAGCCGAGGAUCUCCAGCAUCUUACAAGAUGCACACAGGGCAAAUCAUCCUUAGGUUAUUGAAGUCCCCGGCUUCCAAAAACAUUAAUUUUACAUUUUGUCAAAUAGAAGGAAGUUCAGUAGAUUCAAAUAAAACCAGACUGAAUAAUCCUACCUAAUGUCCUUUUUCCUUCACUUUGAAAAAUUCAGCAACUGUGGAUGAAAC